CAGCAGCCGCGGUAAUCCGUAGGUGGCAAGCGUUGUCCGGAAUUAUUGGGCGUAAAGGACUCGCAGGCGGUUUCUUAAGUCUGAUGUGAAAGCCCCCGGCUCAACCGGGGAGGGUCAUUGGAAACUGGGAAACUUGAGUGCAGAAGAGGAGAGUGGAAUUCCACGUGUAGCGGUGAAAUGCGUAGAGAUGUGGAGGGACACCAGUGGCGAAGGCGACUCUCUGGUCUGUAACUGACGCUGAGGAGCGAAAGCGUGGGGAGCGAACAGGAUUAGAUACCCCCGUAGUCCCUGUCUCUUAUAC
This 301-nucleotide ribosomal RNA is filed under the name uncultured bacterium. RNAcentral's name for it is "partial 16S ribosomal RNA". It matches the Rfam family "Bacterial small subunit ribosomal RNA", at positions 509 to 807 of the family's 1533-position model. The record is from RNAcentral.